GAGGAAGGACAUCACUCACAGAAGAAGCACCGGCUAACUCCGUGCCAGCAGCCGCGGUAAUACGGAGGGUGCGAGCGUUAAUCGGAAUUACUGGGCGUAAAGCGCGCGUAGGCGGCGUGAUAAGCCGGUUGUGAAAGCCCCGGGCUCAACCUGGGAACGGCAUCCGGAACUGUCAGGCUAGAGUGCAGGAGAGGAAGGUAGAAUUCCCGGUGUAGCGGUGAAAUGCGUAGAGAUCGGGAGGAAUACCAGUGGCGAAGGCGGCCUUCUGGACUGACACUGACGCUGAGGUGCGAAAGCGUGGGUAGCAAACAGGAUUAGAUACCCUGGUAGUCCACGCCGUAAACGAUGUCGACUAGCCGUUGGGGUCCUUGAGACCUUUGUGGCGCAGUUAACGCGAUAAGUCGACCGCCUGGGGAGUACGGCCGCAAGGUUAAAACUCAAAUGAAUUGACGGGGGCCCGCACAAGCGGUGGAGCAUGUGGUUUAAUUCGAUGCAACGCGAAGAACCUUACCUACCCUUGACAUCGUGCGAACUUGGUAGAGAUACCUUGGUGCCUUCGGGAACGCACAGACAGGUGCUGCAUGGCUGUCGUCAGCUCGUGUUGUGAAAUGUUGGGUUAAGUCCCGUAACGAGCGCAACCCUUGUCCCUAUUUGCCAGCGAUUCGGUCGGGAACUCUAGGGAGACUGCCGGUGACAAACCGGAGGAAGGUGGGGACGACGUCAAGUCAUCAUGGCCCUUACGGGUAGGGCUACACACGUGCUACAAUGGCCGGUACAAAGGGUUGCGAAGCCGCGAGGUGGAGCUAAUCCCGAAAAGCCGGUCUCAGUCCGGAUCGGAGUCUGCAACUCGACUCCGUGAAGUCGGAAUCGCUAGUAAUCGUGAAUCAGAAUGUCACGGUGAAUACGUUCCCGGGCCUUGUACACACCGCCCGUCACACCAUGGGAGUGGACUGCACCAGAAGUGGUUAGCCUAACUUCGGAGGGCGAUCACCACGGUGUGGUUCAUGACUGGGGUGAAGUCGUAACAAGGUAGCCGUAGGGGAACCUGCGGCUGGAUCACCUCCUUAAACGACCAGUC
This 1078-nucleotide ribosomal RNA is filed under the name Halomonas ventosae. RNAcentral's name for it is "bacterial SSU rRNA". It matches the Rfam family "Bacterial small subunit ribosomal RNA", at positions 464 to 1533 of the family's 1533-position model. The record is from RNAcentral. Lineage: Bacteria; Pseudomonadati; Pseudomonadota; Gammaproteobacteria; Oceanospirillales; Halomonadaceae.